GCAGUGGCGGAAUUGCACGAAAUCUUCGAUUUCGUGGAAGCGGAAAUGCUUGGCGUUUCCGCAGACAGACACGCGCUAGCUUCAGGUGCUAGUGAUCGCAUGAGUCGUGUGGGUUCAAGUCCCGUCACCUGCACCA
This 136-nucleotide transfer RNA is filed under the name [Eubacterium] siraeum. Its description in RNAcentral is "tRNA-Leu". Lineage: Bacteria; Bacillati; Bacillota; Clostridia; Eubacteriales; Oscillospiraceae. RNAcentral also lists the same sequence under 1 other name. The record is from RNAcentral.